This 253-nucleotide ribosomal RNA is filed under the name uncultured bacterium. Its description in RNAcentral is "partial 16S ribosomal RNA". It matches the Rfam family "Bacterial small subunit ribosomal RNA", at positions 524 to 776 of the family's 1533-position model. The record is from RNAcentral.
UACAGAGGAGCCAAGCGUUGUCCGGAUUGACUGGGCGUAAAGCGCACGCAGGCGGACGCGCGCGUGGGGUGUGAAAUCUGGCCGCUUAACGGCCAGGCGCCAUCCCAUACGGCGCGUCUGGAGUGAUGCAGAGGUCGGUGGAAUUGCCGGUGUAGUGGUGAAAUGCGUAGAUAUCAGGAAGAACACCCGUGGCGAAAGCGGCUCUCUGGAACGGUACUGACGCUGAGACGCGAAAGCGUGGGGAGCGAACAGG